RNAcentral lists this long non-coding RNA (3793 nucleotides) under Arabidopsis thaliana (thale cress). Its description in RNAcentral is "natural antisense transcript overlaps with AT1G68940 (AT1G09023)". Lineage: Eukaryota; Viridiplantae; Streptophyta; Magnoliopsida; Brassicales; Brassicaceae. The record is from RNAcentral.
GCAAUCGAGAAAAAUAAAAUAGUCGACAGUGUUCCUAACACAGAAAGAUGAACACAUACAUUCAGAACAGAGUUCAAUCAUACCAAGUCAAAGAAAUAUACAAGUGGAUUGAGAAGUCUGGACUAUUUUCAGACAUGGACAGAAGCAGAAUGUAAGACUUUGACGCUAAAUGAGUGUGAGAGAGGAUCAAGUUUGUAGACAGCACCGGACCACACAAUCUUCCCCCAAAUCUCGCCUCCAUCGCCUCUCUCCACGGAAAUCUCAGCACACCAAUCAUGGGACUUAUCUCUCUUUACUUUCAAUAUUUUCUCACUUUCUAAUCCUAUCCUUCUAAUUUUAUUUAGAUGUCAAUCAUUGUGAAUAGGAUUAUGAGCCUGCUUAGUUGCAUUGGACUCCAAUUGGGUGAAUUGGCUAAGAAAUUUCGACAUGGUGCAUUCAUAUAAUUCGACUGCAACCUCUAUAAAGCUGGAAAACAUGAAUGGUACAUCAUUUGGGGCUCGUACAGUGUAGUUGUGAAUCUCACUAAGAUGCCAACGAGACCUUCCAAGAAAUCAGUUGCAUACCUGCUUGUUCGUGCUCCACUUCUUUGAAUCAGAUGGAUUGCAUGCAGAAUUUCAGACACUAUGCUCUCGUUGACCAGUGCUAAAUUAAGAGUCAGAUUCUGAUGAGGAAGUUUAGCAAGUAACUUGGCUGAAACAGCAUGCUUUUCUGUUAUUUGAUUUGCUUCUACUGGGCACUGGAUAAGAUUCUCUGGCUGACCUCUAGUUUUACAUAGUCUCUCUGAUAGCGUGUGACCGAUGUAGGGGGUAAGGGCUAUUAGAAGUUUUAAUGCUCCAACCCCUAAUUCGUCAUGAGGAUUGUUGAUGAGUUCUAUCAUGGCAAAGCUUGCGUCGGUUUCUUUGAUCACUGAGACGAUUGUUGCCAUCGCUCUAGGUGAUUUGGACAAGGAUAGGAGAAUCCUGAUCAAAUCAAUGUUAAGAUCAUCUGGGCUUGAGUUCUUGAGCAUGUGGAUGAUGUUGUAUACAAAGUAAUCCGAGCCUAAUGUGUGGCCAUGAGUAUUCACCUCAAAGGUCUCAUGUUCCAGCCCAGAUUCCAGUAUGUUUGCAAGUAUUGUAGCAGCUUCGUUCCUGGAGUUCAUCAGAUCACUAAACACUCGCUUCGUGAACAUUUCUUCGACCAUGAUCUUGAUGAUGCCGACCUCUACCAGUAUCUUGUUGUUGGGGUGAUACAAUGAAAUAUGAGCAAGAGCUUUGAAGGCGGCUCUUCUAGCGUCAAUAUUUUCACUUUGCACCAGCCCAAUGAGCGCAGGGCAAGCCUUCUCAGCUACAUAAGUUUUUUUCUCAUGUCCAAUAUCAAUUUCCACAAGGUAAUGCUUGUAUAGCAACUAUGCUUCAUAAACUUUGGAGAGAAAAGCAGUAAUGAAUUACCUUCUGCUAGAUGGCCCAGAAGAGAUGCAAAGGAAUCCAACUCCCUGUUAUACUUUGCGGUAACUAACAUUAGUAUCGCCCCUCUAGCAGUCCCAAUCUUCUCACAUGCAUGUUGGGAUUUUGAAAGCUCAAGCAGUAAGGCUUGUGCUGCAUGUCUUACAGGCUGGUGACUGCUUCCCAAAAGUUUGAUUACGCAUGACAUAGUUAUUGUCUUCACAAUCAUUUCCUGUAAGACAACUUUGAAAUAUAAAAGUCUAUUGAAACAAGAAGUAGAACUGCUGUGUCUAGCUAGGACAAAUAAUCACAGCAGCGCAUAUCGUCUAAGGUAGUGUGCUAUUGCAUAAUAGGUAUGUGAAAGAGAUCCAACCUUUCCGUCAUCAGUUUCUUCAUCUGCCAGUGUCCUUAAGAACUUUAGUAGUUCAAACCUCACAUCUUUACUUCUGUACGUCAGGUAUCUAUCAAGCAGCUGAAUGAUCCCAGCUUCACGGACUUGUACCUUGUUGUACUCUUUCCCUUCACAGGUCAUUUGCAGAUCUCUUAACGCGUCGAUGACCAUACUUUCUGAACCGCCUAAGGAUAAAGCUGCAUGAGCCACUUUGAUUCUUGCUGCCUCGUUACGUACUUUCCAUUCCUGAAUGAUGGUUUUCAAGACAACAUUUGCACUUAAUUCAGUGGUCAACUUUUGACCCGUAACUGGACAGUUGAUCUCAUCGGAGUUUCCAAAACUGUCAAACCACUCUAUUACUGCUUGUCUUUCGCAGGUUACUCCUGUUUCUGUGGUGACUGGAUCUUCCAUUAUCUCUUUGGUCAACGGGCAGAUGAAAGCUUGGUAUGGAGGUUCCAUGAACUGUGUCACCUGUGGUAACAUUGACAAUGAUUCACUAAGAUUUCCAUACUUUCUCUGGCUGCUAGCAUUCGAGCUCUGGCUUGGGAUAUCUGGUAUUUCGGUACUUUGUGAUUGUGAUUUACUGAGAUUCCCAUGCUUUCUCUGGCUGCUAACAUUUGUGCUCUGGCUUGGGAUAUCUGGUAUUUCGGUUACUAGUGAUUGUGAUUCACUAUGAUUUCCAUGCUUUCUCUGGCGGCUAACAUCUGUGCUCUUGCUUGGGAUAUCUGGUAUAUCAGUCAUUUGUGAUUGUGAUUCACUAUACAUCAUGUAACUUUCAUAGGAAAAUUCAGGAUCAGUGGGAUAGAGGUCUUCCUCCAUUUGCUCAGACACAAUAUCCGGUGUAUGCUUUGCAGAAAUCUUCUGCUGCCCAUUGUUUAUCAUCUCACUUUUACUACCAUCUCCAAUGGUAGCAUUUUGCAUCUCAUUUGAAAGAGACUGAAUAACAACUCCUAUAUAUUCUUCCUCGUCGAAUGUUGAUUCAGGUAUGGACUGCAAAGUUUCACCCAUCUGCUUUACAACGCCUUCAAAACCUGCCUCAAUGCUUCUCAGAUCAGUAGUUGAUUCGGCUUCGUUGCUUUCUUGAGAUUUCUCAACCAGUUUCUUGGCAACAUCUACACUAUCGGAUAGUGAUUCAAAAAUAUCAAUUGAACAUAUGACGUUGCUCUCUGCUGUCUGUAUCUCCAUUAACACAACUGAAACUCGAUAAAAGUAGCAAGCGCAUUCGAGGAACCUCUCUGUUUCUGCUUGUAAGGACUCCAAGGAUGUGAUUACCUCAGAAAUGGACCUCAACAACGAUCCAAUUAGUGUAUCACUUGUGCCUAUAUCUUCUUCUUGACUCUGAGAUCACAUAAAUAGGGAGAAAGGUGAGAUUUCGUUGGUUUGAGAAUUUGAUGAUUCGAAAGAUACGAUCAAGAAUUUUUUUGAAGGUGCAAAAGGAAAAAAACAAGAGAAGAUUGAAGAAAGUCUUACCGACAUCCCAUUUGUUCAAAGCUGGUCUUGUCUUACUCUGCUUACCAAGUCUCCAACUGUAACUUCAUCAAGCAGAAGACUUGAAGGACACACUUGGUCCUCUGUUUCAGAGAAGUUGGAACCCACUAAAGGUAAAUUUGUUGCUCUGACGAUGAUUGAUGAGACGACUUUUUAGGAGGAAGUGGGGACACAGUAAAAUUCCAUAGGACUAUGUAAAGAAGUUGAAGGAGUCAAAUCAGAAACUCUGAUUCAGAGUACUUACUUUGUUAAGCCAUAUAAAGCCCCAAACAUUUUCUUUACGAAAACAUGUGUUUGGAUUUUGUUGACUUUGUUUGUUUCUUCUUGCACUAUCUCUCUGCAGAUUGGUCAGACCACAAACCAAAAGGUGAAUGAAUGAUGAUGGUUAGAGAAAGUUGAUCUGAAACUUCUUGUGGUUUGAUUUUUGACAUUUUCCUGAUAUUUAAAUGUAGUUUGUUUAAAUAAUAGAAGGAUUCGGUAGGUACUGUCCAAU